Molecule: ribosomal RNA, 331 nt
Filed under: uncultured eukaryote
Lineage: Eukaryota
Description: partial 18S ribosomal RNA
Rfam family: Eukaryotic small subunit ribosomal RNA
Source: RNAcentral
CCCUUAGAUGUUCUGGGCCGCACGCGCGCUACACUGUUCGACGCAGCGAGUCUUAACCUUGACCGAAAGGUUUGGGUAAUCUUCAGCAAAGUCGAACGUGAUGGGGAUCGAUCAUUGCAAUUAUUGAUCGUGAACGAGGAAUUCCUAGUAAGUGCAAGUCAUCAGCUUGCGCUGAUUACGUCCCUGCCCUUUGUACACACCGCCCGUCGCUACUACCGAUUGAAUGGUUUAGUGAGAUCUCUGGAUUGACGCUGGCUAGGGGGCGACCCGUGGCCAGGCUGUCGAGAAACUGCUCAAACUUGAUCAUUUAGAGGAAGUAAAAGUCGUAACA